This is a non-coding RNA of Pimephales promelas (fathead minnow), 1159 nucleotides long. The record is from RefSeq and is a predicted model, not a curated record. Lineage: Eukaryota; Metazoa; Chordata; Actinopteri; Cypriniformes; Leuciscidae.
AUGGACUGUCAAUUUAAGCAGUGAGAGGAGGUCCGUUGCUGAUGAAACCAGAGGAAAAGUGAACCCAGGAUACAACGCUGAAGACGUAACAAGUUCAGGACACAGUGACCUCAGGAAUAGAGCUGACUGCCCAAUAAACAUCAUCAGCCCGUCACGGGUUCCUGAUAUUGUCAUAUUCAGCUCUCGAAAUCAGAACGAGGAAGAUGUUUCUAACUUGGACUGCAAUGGAGCAAAGAAGACAGUCCGUCGAAUCACUACUGUUUGACCUCAGGGUCAACCACAGAUUGAAAGAAAUGCUGUUUAAAUGCUGCUGUUUUAGACCAGCUUUCUGUUCAGAGAGAAGCCAGAAAUUCAAUCUGACCUUUUUGCUACUCUUAAAGAAGUUAUAUUGCUGAAGAAAAAGAUUCACUGACUUGCGGUGAUGUCAUCUGCAUGCACACAUCACACAGCCAUACUGACAAUGCAUGUUAGUUUGUUCUUUGUAUUUUGCAUUAUUUUUAUUUGACUGGUGUUCAAUCUGAUUCAGCUGGAAUAUUGAAUCAAUUAUUUAUAGAUUCAUAUUUUACACAAUAAAGUAUAUCAGUAUUUAUAUUAGCAUUUUUUCCGAAAUAAAAUGAGCGUUAUACUGUCAAGUAUGCCAACAAAACAACAACGUCCUCUCAGAUGGUUGAGGGUUCAAAUAAGGGAAAUGUGCAAAUUUCGGUCUCUCUUCAUGUUUUUCUGGCAGCUCGUCGCUCAUGGAUGGCAACUGCUGAAUAAAUUAGGGACACCCUCAGUAAGUCACACAAAGCUGUCGUGAUAUGAGAGGGCGAUAACAUAGCCCUUUUGUUUUUGUUUGGGUCGCCAGACCAGUGUUAUCUUUCCUAGACCUGCUUGUGUUACUGAGGUGUUCAUUUGCCAUUCACAAGUGGUGGAUUGAUGUCAGGGUCAAGCAGACUGUUUCUCUGGGGUGAUUUACAGAGGCCUCUGUUUGUCUUUCAAAGACUUCUGCAUCAUUGCUUCUGAAGUCUGUUUCUCUUCUCUCUGCCGCUCUCCUAUUGUUUUGGCAUUUAUUACAGAGGAUGUCUUGAUUUCCUCUCUCUGUUCCGAGGAAAUGGUUUUGCAAUGCGGUAUUUGAGACGAUGUUUGAUAAUAAAUGUGGUAUUCUUCUACAAACCUU